CUACGUGCCAGCAGCCGCGGUAAUACGGAAGGUCCGGGCGUUAUCCGGAUUUAUUGGGUUUAAAGGGAGCGUAGGCCGUGGAUUAAGCGUGUUGUGAAAUGCAGGUGCUCAACGUCUGCACUGCAGCGCGAACUGGUCCACUUGAGUGUGCGCAACGCAGGCGGAAUUCGUCGUGUAGCGGUGAAAUGCUUAGAUAUGACGAAGAACUCCGAUUGCGAAGGCAGCUUGCGGGAGCACAACUGACGCUGAAGCUCGAAAGUGCGGGUAUCGAACAGGAUUAGAUACCCUGGUAGUCCGCACGGUAAACGAUGGAUGCCCGUUGUCAGGCUGUUUCAGCCUGGUGACCAAGCGAAAGCAUUAAGCAUCCCACCUGGGGAGUACGCCGGCAACGGUGAAACUCAAAGGAAUUGACGGGGGCCCGCACAAGCGGAGGAACAUGUGGUUUAAUUCGAUGAUACGCGAGGAACCUUACCCGGGCUUGAA
This 483-nucleotide ribosomal RNA is filed under the name uncultured bacterium. RNAcentral describes it as "bacterial SSU rRNA". It matches the Rfam family "Bacterial small subunit ribosomal RNA", at positions 501 to 985 of the family's 1533-position model. The record is from RNAcentral.